GACAGGAGGGGCGAGCGUUGAGCGUUUGUACUGGGCCUAAAGCGCGGGUAUGUGGGUAUGAAAUCGAAAGCUGUUGCCUAUCUUACAGAUAGGUGUAGCAGCAAAGAAAGGCCCUCCGAGGAUGGAGGCGUUUCUAGAGUGACUUCAUAUCUGGGGUCCACGGAAGGUUGACAGAAUGGCCCAAGGACCGGUAGAAUGGAAAGAUAUGGGUUGGAAUCUCAACAGCGAAGGCAGUUAUCUGACAUGGUACCGACACCCAGCCGCGGAAGCGUGGGGAUUCAAUGGG
This 286-nucleotide ribosomal RNA is filed under the name uncultured prokaryote. RNAcentral's name for it is "partial 16S ribosomal RNA". It matches the Rfam family "Bacterial small subunit ribosomal RNA", at positions 524 to 776 of the family's 1533-position model. The record is from RNAcentral.